GACGAACGCUGGCGGCGUGCUUAACACAUGCAAGUCGAACGGUGAAGCGCCUUCCUUUUUGGUGGGUGUGGAUGAGUGGCGAACGGGUGAGUAACACGUGAGUAACCUGCCCCCUUCUUCUGGAUAACCGCAUGAAAGUGUGGCUAAUACGGGAUAUUCUGGGUCUGUCGCAUGAUGGGUCUGGGAAAGAUAUUGUUUCGGUGGGGGAUGGGCUCGCGGCCUAUCAGCUUGUUGGUGGGGUGAUGGCCUACCAAGGCGGUGACGGGUAGCCGGCCUGAGAGGGUGGACGGUCACACUGGGACUGCGACACGGCCCAGACUCCUACGGGAGGCAGCAGUGGGGAAUAUUGCACAAUGGGCGCAAGCCUGAUGCAGCGACGCCGCGGGAGGGAUGGAGGCCUUCGGGUUGUGAACCUCUUUCGCCAGUGAAGCAGGCCUGCCUCGUUUGUGGGUGGGUUGACGGUAGCUGGAUAAGAAGCGCCGGCUAACUACGUG
This 494-nucleotide ribosomal RNA is filed under the name uncultured bacterium. RNAcentral's name for it is "partial 16S ribosomal RNA". It matches the Rfam family "Bacterial small subunit ribosomal RNA", at positions 28 to 507 of the family's 1533-position model. The record is from RNAcentral.